GAGUUUGAUCGUGGCUCAGAUUGAACGCUGGCGGCAUGCCUUACACAUGCAAGUCGAACGGCAGCACGGGAGCUUGCUCCUGGUGGCGAGUGGCGAACGGGUGAGUAAUGCAUCGGAACGUAUCCUGGAGUGGGGGAUAACGUAGCGAAAGUUACGCUAAUACCGCAUAUUCUGUGAGCAGGAAAGCGGGGGACCUUCGGGCCUCGCGCUCUUGGAGCGGCCGAUGUCGGAUUAGCUAGUUGGUGAGGUAAAGGCUCACCAAGACGACGAUCUGUAGCAGGUCUGAGAGGAUGAUCUGCCACACUGGAACUGAGACACGGUCCAGACUCCUACGGGAGGCAGCAGUGGGGAAUUUUGGACAAUGGGGGCAACCCUGAUCCAGCCAUGCCGCGUGAGUGAAGAAGGCC
This 407-nucleotide ribosomal RNA is filed under the name bacterium enrichment culture clone ALO1_GLFRUDD03G4XGQ. Its description in RNAcentral is "bacterial SSU rRNA". It matches the Rfam family "Bacterial small subunit ribosomal RNA", at positions 9 to 416 of the family's 1533-position model. The record is from RNAcentral.